This is a non-coding RNA of Pelobates cultripes (western spadefoot toad), 318 nucleotides long. NCBI's taxonomy places the organism in Eukaryota, Metazoa, Chordata, Amphibia, Anura, Pelobatidae. The record is from the annotation of a GenBank genome assembly.
GGGGGAAACGGCUGCUCUAUGCCAGGACGAACUGCUGGCUCUGAAAUACAGAGACAAAAAGGAGGUGUUCAUACUGACUACCAUGCACAGUGAACACACACGCAGGGUCGCAGUUCGUGGCAGACAGGAAACAAGACGGCUGCCUGUCUGCAUUAAGCAAUACAAUAAACACAUGGGGGGAGUUGAUCUGUCUGAUCAACUGCUGCAGCCAUAUCUGAUAAUGAGAAAGACCAGGACCUGGUAUAAGAAAGUGGGCAUUUAUUUAAUGCAAAUGGCUACUCACAAUGCAUUCAUCCUUUUCAAAAAGGCAAAUCCUCA